RNAcentral lists this ribosomal RNA (254 nucleotides) under uncultured bacterium. RNAcentral's name for it is "partial 16S ribosomal RNA". It matches the Rfam family "Bacterial small subunit ribosomal RNA", at positions 524 to 776 of the family's 1533-position model. The record is from RNAcentral.
UACGUAGGGUCCGAGCGUUGUCCGGAAUUAUUGGGCGUAAAGGGCGCGUAGGCGGCCACCGCAAGUCGACUGUGAAAUCUCCGGGCUUAACCCGGAAAGGUCAGCCGAUACUGCGGGGCUAGAGUGCAGAAGGGGCAACUGGAAUUCCCGGUGUAGUGGUGGAAUGCGUAGAUAUCUGGAGGAACACCGGUGGCGAAGGCGGCAUCCUGGACCGAUACUGACGCUGAGGAGCGAAAGCCAGGGGAGCAAACGGG